UACGGGGGGGGCAAGCGUUGUUCGGAAUUACUGGGCGUAAAGGGCUCGUAGGCGGCCAACUAAGUCAGACGUGAAAUCCCUCGGCUUAACCGGGGAACUGCGUCUGAUACUGGAUGGCUUGAAUCCGGGAGAGGGAUGCGGAAUUCCAGGUGUAGCGGUGAAAUGCGCAGAUAUCAGGAGGAACACCGGUGGCGAAGGCGGGUCUCUGGGCCGAUACUGACGCUGAGGAGCGAAAGCGUGGGGAGCAAACAGG
RNAcentral lists this ribosomal RNA (253 nucleotides) under uncultured bacterium. RNAcentral's name for it is "partial 16S ribosomal RNA". It matches the Rfam family "Bacterial small subunit ribosomal RNA", at positions 524 to 776 of the family's 1533-position model. The record is from RNAcentral.